GUUUUUUUUACUAGUUUACCUAAGAGAUGAUAAAGACUUUGAAACUGCUAUGGCCGUAAGGUUGGAAUAGAAAAACGUGAGAGAUUAAAGACAAAGGAUUAUGAAAUUUUCAUGACUAAAAGGCAGGGCAGGAGUAUGGUUCAAGAACAAACGAGAGGUGAACCGUGGCCACCAAAAUGCGAAACAGAGUAAGGACUAAAAACUGUCCACAGAACUCACCAACCAAAGUGACCCUAUAAAGAGCUAGCAGUACAGAAUCGAGCCGAAGGCACACCAGCUACAGCAGACCAAGGCAUGGACAGAGGAGUGGGGCGCAUGGACUAGGAGAAGCCUACUGAUUAGCCAAGAGGGCGAGAGAAGAAGGAAUACAGGGGAGUUUGCUUGCCACGGCGUACAGCUGGCGGGAAUCUAGAUUCAUCGCCUGUUGAGGACUCCGAGAAGUCGAACCCUGGUUGACACUUUGCCCAUGGAAUACUGUGCACCGGUCAGAAGCAAUCAACUGGACAGUGGCAUGGAUAGGUUUUGAAAUGUACUGAGUGAAAAGUUAUAGUCAGAUUCUUAGCACAAUUCCACUUAUAUAAAUUUCACACACACACACACACACACACACACACACACACAACACUAUUUUACACCCCUACCCAGAGACACAGGCCAGUGGCGGGGACAGGUGGGCACAACAUGACUGUCCU
RNAcentral lists this long non-coding RNA (692 nucleotides) under Suricata suricatta (meerkat). RNAcentral's name for it is "lncRNA (ENSSSUG00005007798.1)". The record is from RNAcentral. Lineage: Eukaryota; Metazoa; Chordata; Mammalia; Carnivora; Herpestidae.